RNAcentral lists this long non-coding RNA (1101 nucleotides) under Equus caballus (horse). Its description in RNAcentral is "lncRNA (ENSECAG00000051676.1)". Lineage: Eukaryota; Metazoa; Chordata; Mammalia; Perissodactyla; Equidae. The record is from RNAcentral.
CUUCCCUGCCUGCGUCCCUGGGGGCAGCUCUGACAGUACCCCAAAGGGCAAGGGCCUCCGGGUGGUGACCUUUGGGGCAGGGCAGGGCAUGAGAGGCCAGAGGGACCGGAGCCCCUGGACUUUGCUAGGCCUGGUAAACAGCUGCCGAGAGCUUCAGUGAGCGCAGAACGGAAGUGCCCUGGAAGUCCUGGGUCCAGAAGUUGGCAGCAAAGCAUUACUUUGGCAAGGAGCACAUCUGGGCUGGUGUUCCGUGGGUCCAGAGAGCAUCCCAAUUUCCCUUUGAGGAGCCACUCUCUCCCCUUUCUCAAGCGACCUCGCCCUUCCGCUCCAGAGGGAGACCGGUCAGUCAGACCUGGCCAGCCAGCGUACUCCAUCCCGGCCGCCAUGGUGGUCCAAGCUGUCCAUGAGAGCCAGCCCUGGGGCUUGGGCAGGGACUGCUGAGAAGAGAAUUCCUCUAUUUGCCGCGCUUGUUGAGCUGGUCAGGUGUCAACUCGGAGCUGCUGGCGGCCAACUUGCCUGCCAACAGAGGGAAAACAGAGCCUAAAGAUGAUUUUCAAAGUGGCAUUUCAAAUUAGUGAGGACAGAAUGAGUUAUUCACUAAAAGGGACAAUUGGCUACACGUUUAGGGGAAAAUUAAGUCAGAUCUCUUCCUCAUAUCACAAACAGAAAUAGAUUCCAGUCGGAUGAAAGAAAAAAGGAUUAAAAUGUGAAGGUAGUGGAAGAAAAUGCAGGUUACUACUUAUUCAUAAAUUUGGGAAUGGGCAAAAUCUUCCUUAGCAUGACAUGAAAUCCAGAAGCCACAAAAAAACUAUUUGCAGAUUGGCUGCGUAAAAAUAGAAAACCAGGGGCCGGCCCUGUGGCAUGUUGUGGUUAAGUUCACAUGCUCCGCUUCGGUGGCUCGGGGUUUGUGGGUUCAGAUCCCGGGCACAGACCUAUGCACCGGUCAUCUAGCCACGCUCUGGUGGCAUCUCACAUACAAAAUAGGGGAAGAUUGGCAUAGAUGUUAGCUCGGUGACAAUCUUCCUCAAGCAAAAAGAGGAAGAUUGGCAACAGAUGUUAACUCAGGGCCAAUCUUCCUCACCAAAAAAAGAAAAAAAAAAA